GAUCACAGGGCAUAGAGAUGCACCGCUGCACACAUAGAUCUUGAUGAGAGUAAUUAGGCCCAUUGGCUCAGGCCUAAUCUAUUAGGACUCUAGCUAGGAGAGUCCUAAUUGAGAGGGACAUUCAUGUAAAACCUACCUAAGCCAACCCUUAUUAAAGAGAUGAAGAGGCCGACUAGGGUUAGGAGAUUGUUUCUUAGAGAAGAAUUAGGAGUUGUAAAGGAAUAUGAGUCUUG
Molecule: long non-coding RNA, 233 nt
Filed under: Musa acuminata (dwarf banana)
Lineage: Eukaryota; Viridiplantae; Streptophyta; Magnoliopsida; Zingiberales; Musaceae
Description: long non-coding RNA (MACU_LNC011051)
Source: RNAcentral